Molecule: microRNA precursor, 88 nt
Filed under: Callithrix jacchus (white-tufted-ear marmoset)
Lineage: Eukaryota; Metazoa; Chordata; Mammalia; Primates; Cebidae
Description: microRNA cja-mir-9961 precursor
Source: miRBase by way of RNAcentral
GAGACCCUGGCUGUGCUAGUCAGCCAUGGGCUGCUCAUUGACUGUGAUGCGGGUCCCCAUGUGAUUGACUAGUGUGGGCCAGUGUCUC